Molecule: long non-coding RNA, 876 nt
Organism: Mytilus trossulus (common blue mussel)
Lineage: Eukaryota; Metazoa; Mollusca; Bivalvia; Mytilida; Mytilidae
Exons: 2
Source: RefSeq, a predicted model, not a curated record
UUUAGCCGGGAUAAACGCACGGUGACCCCAUCUUUUCUUUUAAUAUUCUCAAAGCAUUUUCUGAAAGCUAUCUUUUCCCUAAGAUUUUAACAACUCUAUCAUUUUGUUUAGUUUUUAAUUACCAAAUGGUGUUUUUUCCUGUAUAAUCCAUACAAAAUGUGUCAUUUUGUCACAUCCUGUAGCUUGAUAAAACGCACGGUGACCUAUCAUUCUGAUUUUAUUUUUCAACAUAAUUCAAUAGAUAAUACGUUUUGGCAAAGUAUGAACAAAUUCUAUCAUUUUUAUUUAAGACUCCUAUACCACCUUAAUGUCUUUUUGUUGUUUGGAUAUACAAGUACCCGGCCACGUCUACUCUGUGUUUUGAUAACAAGUAUUUCAAUUUGUAUUCAUCUAAAGAGUUAAGUCUGAUGUUAUAGCUUGUUCUUAUGUUGUACUUUAACAGAACUGUCGAUGUUUAGAGUGAGGGUUGGGAGACCGGUAACAUUUUGAAGCCUGUCACAUUAUGUAUAUAUGUGCCUGGUCCAAGUCAUACAUAUUUUGGUCAAACUCAGAUAACACCUUGAUGAGUAGCAAUGGUAUGAAAUUCACCACUAUCGAUCAAGAUAAUGAUACCCCUGAAAACGGUAACUGUGCACGACUGAAUAGGGGAUCUUGGUGGUAUAGUCAAUGUAUCGGUAGUGAUCUCACCAGCAGAUAUGGGCCUAUUUGGGGAGGAUAUACACAUAUCAAUUCAACAAGUAUGAUGAUCAGAAAAUUUUCAGUUGUUUUUCAUAGACAAAUAAAUAGAGAUUUCUAAUUUGUUCCUUUUUUAAUCAUGCUGUUAUCAUAAUACUUUUUUCUUGUGUAAAAAUACAGAAUACAAGUUUAAAAAUUAUA